GGUCCCGUAGUGUAGCGGUUAUCACGUCGCCUUGUCACGGCGAAGAUCGCGGGUUCGAUUCCCGUCGGGACCG
Molecule: transfer RNA, 73 nt
Filed under: Streptococcus agalactiae
Lineage: Bacteria; Bacillati; Bacillota; Bacilli; Lactobacillales; Streptococcaceae
Also listed under: 2 other names
Description: tRNA-Asp
Rfam family: tRNA
About the family: Transfer RNA (tRNA) molecules are approximately 80 nucleotides in length.
Source: RNAcentral